GACGAACGCUGGCGGCGUGCUUAACACAUGCAAGUCGAACGGAAAGGCCCUGCUUUUGUGGGGUGCUCGAGUGGCGAACGGGUGAGUAACACGUGAGUAACCUGCCCUUGACUUUGGGAUAACUUCAGGAAACUGGGGCUAAUACCGGAUAGGAGCCCCUGCUGCAUGGUGGGGGUUGGAAAGUUUCGGCGGUUGGGGAUGGACUCGCGGCUUAUCAGCUUGUUGGUGGGGUAGUGGCUUACCAAGGCUUUGACGGGUAGCCGGCCUGAGAGGGUGAACGGCCACAUGGGGCCUGAGAUACGGCCCAGACUCCAACGGGAGGCAGCAGUGGGGAAUAUUGCACAAUGGGCGGAAGCCUGAUGCAGCAGCGCCGCGUGCGGGAUGACGGCCUUCGGGUUGUAAACCGCUUUCGCCUGUGACGAAGCGUGAGUGACGGUAAUGGGUAAAGAAGCACCGGCUAACUACGUG
Molecule: ribosomal RNA, 468 nt
Filed under: uncultured bacterium
Lineage: Bacteria
Description: partial 16S ribosomal RNA
Rfam family: Bacterial small subunit ribosomal RNA
Source: RNAcentral